RNAcentral lists this ribosomal RNA (353 nucleotides) under uncultured Hydrogenophaga sp. RNAcentral's name for it is "bacterial SSU rRNA". It matches the Rfam family "Bacterial small subunit ribosomal RNA", at positions 1025 to 1382 of the family's 1533-position model. Lineage: Bacteria; Pseudomonadati; Pseudomonadota; Betaproteobacteria; Burkholderiales; Comamonadaceae. The record is from RNAcentral.
AAUCGGAACACAGGUGCUGCAUGGCUGUCGUCAGCUCGUGUCGUGAGAUGUUGGGUUAAGUCCCGCAACGAGCGCAACCCUUAUCAUUAGUUGCUACGCAAGGGCAACUCUAAUGAGACUGCCGGUGACAAACCGGAGGAAGGUGGGGAUGACGUCAAGUCCUCAUGGCCCUUAUAGGUGGGGCUACCACACGUCAUACAAUGGCUGGUACAAAGGGUUGCCAACCCGCGAGGGGGAGCCAAUCCCAUAAAGCCAGUCGUAGUCCGGAUCGUAGUCUGCAACUCGACUACGUGAAGUCGGAAUCGCUAGUAAUCGUGGAUCAGAAUGUCACGGUGAAUACGUUCCCGGGUCUU